This 2126-nucleotide long non-coding RNA is filed under the name Homo sapiens (human). RNAcentral describes it as "non-protein coding STXBP5-AS1:13". The record is from RNAcentral. Lineage: Eukaryota; Metazoa; Chordata; Mammalia; Primates; Hominidae.
UUGCUCCAGAAGAAGCUGGUUGCCAUGUCUUGAGGACAGUAAACCCUCUGGGGAGGUUCCUGUGGUAAGGAACAAGGGCUCCUGGCAAUAGCCUCUGAGUGAGCCACCUUGAAAAUGGAUUGUCCAGCCCCAGUCAAGCUUUCAGAUGACUGUAGCUCCUGCCAAUGUCUUCACCACAACCUCAUGAGAUCCCAAGCUACAACCACUCAGAACUUCAUCUUUUGGGAAGCACCAGGGAGAGCUGCCUGUGCCUGGCAGAAGCUGCCCAUGCCCCACUGAUACCCCACAGUACUUCCUGUUCUGCUUAGUACUCCUGCUUCUUUCUACAAACAACUGUGAUUCUCUACCUGGGAGCUUCCUCUGGCCACAGGAGCCUGCUCACCUGAUUGGGACACCCUAGCAGUACUGGCUCAUAGAUGGAAGGGACUUGCCUUGUCGCUGAUGAGACUUUCGACUUGGACUUUUGAGUCAAUGCUGGAAUGAGUUAAGACUUUGGGGAACUGUUGGAAGGGUGUGAUUGUGUUUUGAAUUGUGAGGACAUGAGAUUUUGAAGAGGCUAAUGGCAGCGUCCCCACCUAAAUCUCUUCUUGAAUUGUAGUUCCCAUAAUCCCCACGUGUCGUGGGGUGGAGCCGGUGGAGAUAAUUGAAUCAUGGGAACACUUUCCCCCAUGCUGUUAUUGUGAUUGUGAAUUCUCACGAGAUCUGAUGGUUGUAUAAACGCCUUCCCUCUUCGCUGGGCACUCAUUUUUCUCCUUCCUGCCACCAUGUGAAGAAGGAUAUGCUUGCUUCUUGUGCCAUGAUUACAAGAACACACUCAGAAAUUUUCUCAACACAGUUUCUAUGCAGAGAAGAGAUGUGGGACAGAUUUGAACUGCUGUCAUAUUUGUAUGAACCCAAGACAUUUUCCAAGACCAAGAGGGAUAAAGACAGCAAUUUCUAUGACUGGCAUUUUACGUGCAUGCACUGUUUCCAAGUGUUCUUGUGUUCUGUGCCUUAAACAUUCUGUGUUGCAACUUUAUGAAUUGAAUUAAAGAUAAUCCCAAGCCCCCAAUUGUCUCAAAAAGUGAAAAAGUAAAUGUUAUAGAAAGAAAAGCGGGAAAAACUUUAAGCAUGAAAUAAAAGAUGGGUUGUGAUAAAAGAGGACUGAAGAAGGAAAAGGAAUGAAAGGUUCUGCCAUCCUUCAUGGCAGCCCACUCCACUUGGUAUGAGAUACUGCUCCCUUGGCUGAAAGUUAACUGCUGUACUCCCUCCACUUUCUAUAAAUGACUCCCUGUGCCUUUCCUUCACCACACAACUCACACUCUCUUCCUUCCUAGUGAGUCCACUAAGGCUUCACUGCAUUAUUACAUUUAUUUCAUUUAGGAAAAACUGACUUUAUUUUCCUUCAAAUUGUUUUUUAUUGUUUAUAUGAGCUUGGUUUUAUUGUCAUUCUAUUUUUCUCCAUGAAAAUAGAGAAAAAUAGGGUCGAAAGGUUAGGUUGGGUGGAAAGGAAUUAUAUUUUUUCUCACUAAAAUUGAUGUAAAUAUCGUUUUCAAUUGAAUGAUUUUACACAGUGGCACAGUUUCAGGUAUGUUGCUAAGCAGGAAAGUUGUUAACCAAAGCAUGAAUGUAUUAAGGAGAUGUAUGCAGAAUGACAUGCAAGGUUAUCUAUGAUUGCUGAGUGAGAAAGAGCAAGUUGCUGAGUAUUAUAUAAGUAUGAUCUCACUUUUGUAAAAAAAAAAAAAAAAAAAGGCCUGGACUGAUCUGAAAUGACCCUAUUAAUAACAAUUAUGUCCAGGUCUGUAUUGCAUACUUGUCAUUCAUUACAGGAUCUUGAGACACAAUGCAAAGGAUCACAUCGCAGCUCUGUAACUUGUUAACUAUAAGAUUUUGAGUAACAUAACACCUUACUCCUUAAAAUUGCUUAAAAAAAAUCUGAACAUCAGGAAUAUUCUACUUCACAGGGUCGUUGUGAUAAUUAAAUGUAGUAAUCAAUGACAAUAGUGCCAGAUACAGUAGAUAGCCUACACUUUGCAGCUACUAUUUCUAUCUAUCAUCCAUCUAUUAAUAUAUAUCAUCUAUCUUUAACUUAUCAUCUAUCUUGUUCCAGUUUUUUAAAAUGAACAUGUAUUAACUUUGUAAAAAAU